CGACUGCACUGGUCGUGGAGACCUGCUAUGGACGAUUGUGAGAUACGGGAAGCAUUGGAUCGCCAUUGGGUCGCAUCCGAUGCGGACGAC
This 90-nucleotide transfer RNA is filed under the name Methylobacterium thuringiense. RNAcentral describes it as "tRNA-Val". Lineage: Bacteria; Pseudomonadati; Pseudomonadota; Alphaproteobacteria; Hyphomicrobiales; Methylobacteriaceae. The record is from RNAcentral.